UGUGGCUCAGUGGUAGAGCGCUUGCCUAGCAUGUGUGAGGCACUGGGUUCAAUUCUCAGCA
This 61-nucleotide transfer RNA is filed under the name Marmota marmota marmota (Alpine marmot). It matches the Rfam family "tRNA", at positions 6 to 65 of the family's 71-position model. Rfam says of the family: Transfer RNA (tRNA) molecules are approximately 80 nucleotides in length. Their secondary structure includes four short double-helical elements and three loops (D, anti-codon, and T loops). Further hydrogen bonds mediate the characteristic L-shaped molecular structure. tRNAs have two regions of fundamental functional importance: the anti-codon, which is responsible for specific mRNA codon recognition, and the 3' end, to which the tRNAs corresponding amino acid is attached (by aminoacyl-tRNA synthetases). tRNAs cope with the degeneracy of the genetic code in two manners: having more than one tRNA (with a specific anti-codon) for a particular amino acid; and 'wobble' base-pairing, i.e. permitting non-standard base-pairing at the 3rd anti-codon position. Lineage: Eukaryota; Metazoa; Chordata; Mammalia; Rodentia; Sciuridae. RNAcentral also lists the same sequence under 6 other names. The record is from Rfam by way of RNAcentral.